GAAUUUUGGACAAUGGGCGAAAGCCUGAUCCAGCAAUGCCGCGUGCAGGAUGAAGGCCUUCGGGUUGUAAACUGCUUUUGUACGGCAAGAAACGCUUUGGGUUCCUCCCCUGGAGUCAUGACCGUACCGUAAGACUAAGCACCCGCUAACUACGUCCCAGCAGCCGCGGUAAUACGUAGGGGGCAAGCGUUUAUCGGAAUUACUGGGGGUAAAGCGUGGGGAGGAGGUUUUGGAAUACAAAGGUGAAAUCCCCGGGCGCAACCUGGGAACUGCCUUUGUGACUGCAAGGCUAGAGUACGGCAGAGGGGGGUGGAAUUCCGCGUGUAGCAGUGAAAUGCGUAGAUAUGCGGAGGAACACCGAUGGCGAAGGCAACCCCCUGGGCCUGUACUGACGCUCAUGCACGAAAGCGUGGGGAGCAAACA
This 423-nucleotide ribosomal RNA is filed under the name uncultured bacterium. Its description in RNAcentral is "partial 16S ribosomal RNA". It matches the Rfam family "Bacterial small subunit ribosomal RNA", at positions 359 to 774 of the family's 1533-position model. The record is from RNAcentral.